This 464-nucleotide ribosomal RNA is filed under the name uncultured bacterium. RNAcentral's name for it is "bacterial SSU rRNA". It matches the Rfam family "Bacterial small subunit ribosomal RNA", at positions 29 to 506 of the family's 1533-position model. The record is from RNAcentral.
AUGAAUGCUGGCGGCGUGUCUAAGGCAUGCAAGUCGAACGGAUUAUGUUAGGUAGCAAUACUUGACAUGGUCAGUGGCAAACGGGUGCGUAACACAUUGGUAACCUGCCUCGUAGUCGGGCAUAACUCGCCGAAAGGUGAACUAAUUCCACGAUGGUGUUCGGUGUUAAAACCGUACUAAAGUCGCAAGACGCUACGAGAGGGGCCUAUGGCCUAUCAGCUAGUUGGUGAGGUAAUGGCUCACCAAGGCUAUGACGGGUAGGGGAUGUGAGAGCAUGAUCCCCCUCACUGGGACUGAGACACUGCCCAGACACCUACGGGUGGCUGCAGUCGAGAAUAUUCCCCAAUGGGCGAAAGCCUGAGGGAGCGACGCCGCGUGUGCGAUGAAGGCCUUCGGGUCGUAAAGCACUUUUGCCGAGGAAGAAUCAUGACAGUACUCGGAGAAUAAGAGGUUGCUAACUCUGU